Molecule: ribosomal RNA, 253 nt
Filed under: uncultured bacterium
Lineage: Bacteria
Description: partial 16S ribosomal RNA
Rfam family: Bacterial small subunit ribosomal RNA
Source: RNAcentral
GACAGAGGCCUCGAGCGUUAGGCGGAAUCACUGGGCUUAAAGCGUGUGUAGGCGGAAGAGUAAGUACCUUGUGAAAUCCCACGGCUCACCCGUGGAACCGCUGGGUAUACUGCUCUUCUUGGGCCACUCAGGGGCGACUGGAACAAGCGGUGGAGCGGUGAAAUGCGUAGAUAUCGCUUGGAACGCCAAUGGUGAAAACAGGUUGCUGGGAGUGUGCUGACGCUGAGGCGCGAAAGCUAGGGUAGCAAACGGG